This 279-nucleotide long non-coding RNA is filed under the name Oryza brachyantha (malo sina). RNAcentral's name for it is "long non-coding RNA (OBRA_LNC002165)". The record is from RNAcentral. Lineage: Eukaryota; Viridiplantae; Streptophyta; Magnoliopsida; Poales; Poaceae.
AAACUCUUAGCAUGAAAAUACAACAAUUUAGUUAGUCCCUGACUUCUUGAGUCCCAGCUCACUUGAUUGGCCAAGAUGACAAUGUUUUGGUCAUCAGGCCAACCAAGGGUUGAUCUUUGUCUACAUUGCAAAGAAAACAUGAUACAUGGGUAACCGGUGCUUGUGAAGACAUUGCCCGUACAAUCUGUUUUUCCUAUGGAUCAUUCAGGACAGAAGGGCAUCUUCGGAAGGUGCUCGCAUGUUGUCUAUGGCAACAGCUUAAUCUUGGGUUCCCAAUGC